AUAGCUCAGUUGGUUAGAGCGCUACACUGAUAAUGUAGAGGUCGGCAGUUCAAAUCUGCCUG
Molecule: transfer RNA, 62 nt
Filed under: uncultured Porphyromonas sp.
Lineage: Bacteria; Pseudomonadati; Bacteroidota; Bacteroidia; Bacteroidales; Porphyromonadaceae
Rfam family: tRNA
About the family: Transfer RNA (tRNA) molecules are approximately 80 nucleotides in length.
Source: RNAcentral